UACGGAGGGUGCGAGCGUUGUCCGGAAUCACUGGGCGUAAAGGGCGCGUAGGCGGUGCGAGAAGCGUGUGGUGAAGGGCCGGGGCUCAACUCCGGCCCGGCCGUGCGGACUCUCGCGCUUUGUGAGUGCUGUAGAGGCGGGCGGAAUUCCGGGUGUAGCGGUGGAAUGCGUAGAGAUCCGGAAGAACACCGGUGGCGAAGGCGGGUUGCUGGGCUGACACUGACGCUGAUGCGCGAAAGCUAGGGGAGCGAACGGG
RNAcentral lists this ribosomal RNA (256 nucleotides) under uncultured bacterium. RNAcentral's name for it is "partial 16S ribosomal RNA". It matches the Rfam family "Bacterial small subunit ribosomal RNA", at positions 524 to 776 of the family's 1533-position model. The record is from RNAcentral.